RNAcentral lists this ribosomal RNA (497 nucleotides) under uncultured bacterium. RNAcentral describes it as "partial 16S ribosomal RNA". It matches the Rfam family "Bacterial small subunit ribosomal RNA", at positions 28 to 507 of the family's 1533-position model. The record is from RNAcentral.
GAUGAACGCUGGCGGCGUGCCUAAUACAUGCAAGUCGAGCGAACAGACGAGGAGCUUGCUCCUCUGACGUUAGCGGCGGACGGGUGAGUAACACGUGGAUAACGUACCUAUAAGACUGGGAUAACUUCGGGAAACCGGAGCUAAUACCGGAUAAUAUGUUGAAUCGCAUGGUUCAACAGUGAAAGACGGUCUUGCUGUCACUUAUAGAUGGAUCCGCGCCGCAUUAGCUAGUUGGUAAGGUAACGGCUUACCAAGGCAACGAUGCGUAGCCGACCUGAGAGGGUGAUCGGCCACACUGGAACUGAGACACGGUCCAGACUCCUACGGGAGGCAGCAGUAGGGAAUCUUCCGCAAUGGGCGAAAGCCUGACGGAGCAACGCCGCGUGAGUGAAGAAGGUCUUCGGAUCGUAAAACUCUGUUAUUAGGGAAGAACAAAUGUGUAAGUAACUAUGCACGUCUUGACGGUACCUAAUCAGAAAGCCACGGCUAACUACGUG